AUUUCACGAAUGAAAAUAUCAGCUUUUUGAAUCGUAUUUUGUAUACGAACUUAGUUCGUUUUGAGAAAUGUAAUUUUUACCAAUUCGUCGACGUCAUUUCUUAGUUUGAAGCGGAAUUUUUGUACCAACAGGACAGAUAUCGAUCGCGUUACUUUACAAACUCAAAGCGAUCUACUCUUUGAUCUGCCGACGUUCAAGUAGAAAGUCAACUUAUCGACUUCAUUAAUACCACAAACGUUAAAAGUGUAUCGACUUUUCACGGUAAAAGGGUGUUGCGUUCAUUCGUCAAUACCGAUAUUAAAUAUCGAAAACUGAACGGUGAAAAAACGCGACCGAACGAUUAAACGAUUUAAUAGGCGAAACAAUUCUAUGCAUGUAUAAAUAUUACUACCAUUGUAACGUACGUCUCGAGAAUCACGACAUAGAUCAUCAUUGAUCGUGGCACGUUUACCAUUGGAGAAUUGACUUAUUAAUUCGACUUGAAAAUGAAAUAGCUCACGCCUAAUUAGGGUCUAUAAAUGUAUACAACCAAAUAAAAGAUGCGGAAUAAUUAUCAAAUUUUGAUUUAUUUUAUUAUAACAUUAAAAGUACCGAACUCGUUACCUUGAUAGGUUUUAGAUUUUUUCCAACCCUGUGACCCAUUUCUCACCUAUUUUAUUACUUUUUCUACUCUUAAAAACAUAUGUAUUUCUUUAAAUUCCGAAUUUUCUAUUCCUUUUUAAUUUACCUACUGAUUAGUAUCGCAAGUUCACUGGUAGAUGCGGCACUAUGCCCAAAAUAGUAUUUUGCCAAGCUAAUAUCACCGAUACCAUUAGUACCAUCUUUUCACCGCUAGGUGACUAUAAUGUCUCAGAGUCUAUGUUUUGAUAAAAUUCUCGCAGUAGACAAUAGAGAAACAUUUGGACAAAAACCCGAAGUACGGUUAUCAAACUAACCUUGGGAUAAACGUAGAAUCUCACCCAACAACGCAAUCCUGACAAAAGCUGAAAUUCCAUCAUUUACGAGACAGGAUCGAAUAUCUCUAUGGUAAAUACACUCGGAAAACACUGAAUAACCUAACCAAUCUUGUGGCAGAAUACAUUCAAGAAUACAUAGAACUGGAGGAAACUGUUUUAUACAACAUCCAAUUCGACAAGAAGAGGAGAAUAAUUGUGAAAGCCUGCUGAGAAGGAUCGAACGUAUGGAUAAAGUACAAUACCGUUCGUGCCAUCCGGAUGUAUCUGAAUAUAAAUCCCAUAUAUUUGAAAACGAUUACACCAUACAACUCAGCGCUACGGCCAAAUCCUACAGAGGCGAUUAUCGUCCGCCCUGAAAUUUGUAGCGGCGGUUCACAAAUGGGAGACAAUGAACUGCAAAUUCUCUGGAUAUUAGCACACGUGGGUAUUCCUGAGAACAAAGAAACAGACCAACCAUUCAAAGGAGCCACAACCAAACAUACCACCAGACAGUAUGAAGAAGUUACCUCUUACAGAUUGCUACGGUGUGUUGAAAUAUAAAAUAUGGAACGAUUCUGAAAACAAAUCAAAUACUUUACUAUCUUCGUUAAAUCAGACAGAAUAUCUUGAUUUGUUGUAUACUAGACUAUUGGUUGUAUACUAACUUGAUGAAAAGAACGACGAACAGAUUGUAAAAGGAAAGACCUCGCGUUCGCUCGAAUGAUGGAAUCAUUUGUACAAAGUCUUGAUAUAUCAGCCGUUAGAAUAGUAAAAGAUCGUUUUAAAGCGAAUGAUAAAGUAUAUAGCAAUACAUUGUAAUAUUACAUUGUUAUUUCUCUUAUUUUAAUUGUAACAGUAUCAAUAUAUAUUGCAUGAAUGUAUCAAGCUUAUAUACGUAGGAUGAUCAAAGUUCAAAUAAUGAAAUGAAAGUUUCGAUCAACUUUUCAUUUCCGAAAAAGGUUAAUUACAAAUGUAUAUAAAAAUAAUACACGAUAGUAACGAAUGCACAAAUAACAAAUACACGAAAUGCAUGUAAAUUUAAAGAUUUGCGAAUUCUAUCGAAUAGAACGAAGCACUCGCACGAAUAAUAUUUAAUUCCGCGCAAACUACACUUGAAACUAUGAUUAAAGUCGUAUGUGAAUAACUGAAAGUGGAAAGUUUGAAAUGCAUACGCGCGUAAAAUGCUCAAACGUGUGAAUGUAAGAAAUUUAUACUUGUGUACACACGUAUGUGUCUUUUAUAUGGACACGAAGCGAUUAGUUCCACCUAUUCGCUGUUAGAUGGUAUCCCAUGUUCAUCGAAGAAACUGCGGUCAUGGUGGAACGACUUUUAAAAGUUGUCCAAGUAUAUGAUCUUACUAGGGAUGAAGUACAAAAUAGUCAUGACAUGUAACGUUUUUUCGUGUCCCACGUUUGAGUGUCAUCUGAUAUGUAUCUUUGUAUGAAAUGUGCGCGCAAUGAUCUUAUCUUAAAUAAAGAUUACAAUGUCGAUCGAACGGCGAAAUAUGCAAAUAUAUAUUACGAUAGUAAAUCAUAAUCGAUAUGCAUGCAUAAUUUCUUCCGAUCGAUCUAUCGUAUCGUGGAAGUGUCAGUUUUAGGUGGGAAGCGCAGGAAGAAGAAGCGUAAACGUUUCAUCUAGAGGUUAACAGGUAAAGAAUCCGAUCAAUAGCUUUUACAUUUGUUUUCAUAUCGUCGAAUUCGUCUACGAUUAGAACAAUGAGCAUUAUUUAGAAGAGUUGUCAUAUAGACACGUAUGUAUAUCUAAUCCGAUCGCUAAAGUUGGUUAAGAGCAAAUAUACGUAUGUAUAACUUCCAUAUACAAUGGCUGACAAGAGUAUUUCAAAUUAAAAUACUUACCGAAGAAAACUUUUAUAUAUAUUAUAUGUAUCGUGUAUUAGCACUGCAAUGACUCAGUAAUGAGACAUGACUAUUAGUGGUUACGUUGAUCAAAUUUAGGAGCAAUUUGAAAAUGUACAAUGUAUAAAAGUUACAAGAUAUCUACUGUAAAUAUAUAUUUACUAGAAAGUUAA
This is a long non-coding RNA of Bombus pascuorum, 2964 nucleotides long. RefSeq lists it as uncharacterized. The transcript has 2 exons. Lineage: Eukaryota; Metazoa; Arthropoda; Insecta; Hymenoptera; Apidae. The record is from RefSeq and is a predicted model, not a curated record.